RNAcentral lists this ribosomal RNA (253 nucleotides) under uncultured bacterium. Its description in RNAcentral is "partial 16S ribosomal RNA". It matches the Rfam family "Bacterial small subunit ribosomal RNA", at positions 524 to 776 of the family's 1533-position model. The record is from RNAcentral.
UACGUAGGGUGCGAGCGUUAAUCGGAAUUACUGGGCGUAAAGUGUGCGCAGGUGGCUUCGCAAGUCGAGUGUGAAAUCCCCGGGCUUAACCUGGGAAUUGCGCUCGAAACUACGGAGCUGGAGUAUGGCAGAGGGAGGUGGAAUUCCACGUGUAGCGGUGAAAUGCGCAGAUAUCAGGAGGAACACCGGUGGCGAAGGCGGUUCUCUGGGCAUGACCUGACGCUGAGGAGCGAAAGUGUGGGGAGCGAACAGG